GGGUUUAAAGGGUGCGUAGGCGGGCGUAUAAGUCAGUGGUGAAAUCCUGGAGCUUAAACUCCAGAACUGCCAUUGAUACUAUAUGUCUUGAAUAUGGUGGAGGUAAGCGGAAUAUGUCAUGUAGCGGUGAAAUGCAUAGAUAUGACAUAGAACACCUAUUGCGAAGGCAGCUUACUACGCCUAUAUUGACGCUGAGGCACGAAAGCGUGGGGAUCAAAACAGGAUUAGAUACCCUGGUAGUCCACGCCCUAAACGAUGAUUACUCGACGUGUGCGAUAAAACGGUACGCGUCUGAGCGAAAAGCAUUAAGUAAUCCACCUGGGAAGUACGACCGCAAAGGUUGAAAACU
RNAcentral lists this ribosomal RNA (349 nucleotides) under uncultured bacterium. Its description in RNAcentral is "bacterial SSU rRNA". It matches the Rfam family "Bacterial small subunit ribosomal RNA", at positions 556 to 901 of the family's 1533-position model. The record is from RNAcentral.